This 446-nucleotide ribosomal RNA is filed under the name uncultured bacterium. RNAcentral describes it as "partial 16S ribosomal RNA". It matches the Rfam family "Bacterial small subunit ribosomal RNA", at positions 338 to 795 of the family's 1533-position model. The record is from RNAcentral.
CCUACGGGGGGCAGCAGUCGAGAAUCAUUCACAAUGGGGGAAACCCUGAUGGUGCGACGCCGCGUGGGGGAAUGAAGGUCUUCGGAUUGUAAACCCCUGUCAUGUGGGAGCAAAUUAAAAAGAUAGUACCACAAGAGGAAGAGACGGCUAACUCUGUGCCAGCAGCCGCGGUAAUACAGAGGUCUCAAGCGUUGUUCGGAAUCACUGGGCGUAAAGCGUGCGUAGGCUGUUUCGUAAGUCGUGUGUGAAAGGCGCGGGCUCAACCCGCGGACGGCACAUGAUACUGCGAGACUAGAGUAAUGGAGGGGGAACCGGAAUUCUCGGUGUAGCAGUGAAAUGCGUAGAUAUCGAGAGGAACACUCGUGGCGAAGGCGGGUUCCUGGACAUUAACUGACGCUGAGGCACGAAGGCCAGGGGAGCGAACGGGAUUAGAUACCCGGGUAGUC